RNAcentral lists this ribosomal RNA (1046 nucleotides) under Amynthas sp. GD201102-02. RNAcentral's name for it is "partial 12S ribosomal RNA". Lineage: Eukaryota; Metazoa; Annelida; Clitellata; Crassiclitellata; Megascolecidae. The record is from RNAcentral.
ACUCGAUAAUCCACGCAUACCCAACCCUCUCUCGAACUUCAGCAUGUGUACUGCCGUUGUAAGCAUACCUUUAAAAGAGUAGUAUGCUACCAUGAUUAACAACCCACAUACAUCAGGUCAAAGUGCAGCCAAUGAGGAGGUGAUGAUGGGUUACAACCCCAAAAUAGAUUAUCAACUAAGAAAUAAAAAAUCUUACGAAAGUGGACUUGGCUGUAAUCAAUUUCAAAUUAAAGAAAUGAACCAUAUCUAAGACAUGUACACAUCGCCCGUCACUCUAUCCUAAAGGUUAGAUAAGUCGUAACAAAGUAGGUGUAAUGGAAAUUGUACCUGUCGAAGUAUAGCAUAUAAAAUGCUUUUUACUUACACUAAAAAUAAAGUUAACAAACUUACUUCGCCCACUCAAUACAACCCUCUAAAUACCUAAUAAUAGAAACAAUUAAACACCCAAUCAAAUACAUAGUACAGAAAUGGAACUCACAAUAAAUAAAAGUAAAUUUUAACAAAUGUACCUUGUGCAUUAUGGUUUUACAAGAAAACAAUUAAAAAUAUUAAUCCCGAAUUCUAAAUGAGAUGUUAAGUUGCUGUUAUGAACUCAUUAAUAACUGUAGAAAAAGCUUUAAAAGACAAUUUAACAGAGGCUACAUACCAUACGCAUAAGAAUAUAGCUGGUUUUCAACAAACAUUAUAUAUUAAAACAUAUAACUAUAUUAUAGUGUAAUAUUAUUGAGGAUAAGCCCAAUAAUUAAUGCAAUUUAUUAAAUAUUCUAUUCUACUCCACAGGCCUAAAAUCAGCCAAAUAAAAUACUUUACCGUAAUAUAAGUAGACAUAAUAUAUAAAACACCAAUGCCCAAAAAAGUUGAAAUAGUGAGAAAACUCGUUUUCUUACAUUUAAUAUGUAAAAAUAAGUAUUAAUAUAUAUAAAACAUAGCAAUGCUGUCACAUAACAAAAUAUACCAAAUAAUAAUUAAUUAAGGAACUCGGCAAACUAUUAUUUCGACUGUUUAACAAAAACAUUGUCUUAUGAAUAAAAUAUCAGAUAAUACCU